ACUCCUACGGGAGGUAGCAGUGGGGAAUAUUGCGCAAUGGGCGGAAGCCUGACGCAGCGACGCCGCGUGGGGAUGACGGCCUUCGGGUUGUAAACCUCUUUCGCCAGGGACGAAGCUUUUGUGACGGUACCUGGAGAAGAAGCACCGGCCAACUACGUGCCAGCAGCCGCGGUAACACGUAGGUGCGAGCGUUGUCCGGAAUUAUUGGGCGUAAAGAGCUCGUAGGCGGUGUGUCGCGUCGGCCGUGAAAACUUGGGGCUUAACUCUGAGCGUGCGGUCGAUACGGGCAUCACUUGAGUUCGGCAGGGGAGACUGGAAUUCCUGGUGUAGCGGUGAAAUGCGCAGAUAUCAGGAGGAACACCGGUGGCGAAGGCGGGUCUCUGGGCCGAUACUGACGCUGAGGAGCGAAAGCAUGGGGAGCGAACAGGAUUAGAUACCCUGGUAGCGAG
RNAcentral lists this ribosomal RNA (449 nucleotides) under uncultured bacterium. RNAcentral's name for it is "bacterial SSU rRNA". It matches the Rfam family "Bacterial small subunit ribosomal RNA", at positions 335 to 797 of the family's 1533-position model. The record is from RNAcentral.